Molecule: ribosomal RNA, 474 nt
Filed under: Kingella denitrificans
Lineage: Bacteria; Pseudomonadati; Pseudomonadota; Betaproteobacteria; Neisseriales; Neisseriaceae
Description: bacterial SSU rRNA
Rfam family: Bacterial small subunit ribosomal RNA
Source: RNAcentral
AUUGAACGCUGGCGGCAUGCUUUACACAUGCAAGUCGAACGGCAGCGGGGGUGCUUGCACCUGCCGGCGAGUGGCGAACGGGUGAGUAACAUAUUGGAAUGUACCGAGUAGUGGGGGAUAACCAAUCGAAAGAUUGGCUAAUACCGCAUACGUCCUAAGGGGGAAAGCAGGGGAUCUUCGGACCUUGCGCUAUUUGAGCAGCCAAUAUCUGAUUAGCUAGUUGGUGGGGUAAAGGCCCACCAAGGCGACGAUCAGUAGCGGGUCUGAGAGGAUGAUCCGCCACACUGGGACUGAGACACGGCCCAGACUCCUACGGGAGGCAGCAGUGGGGAAUUUUGGACAAUGGGGGCAACCCUGAUCCAGCCAUGCCGCGUGUCUGAAGAAGGCCUUCGGGUUGUAAAGGACUUUUGUUAGGGAAGAAAAGAGAAGUGCUAAUACCACUUUUUGCUGACGGUACCUAAAGAAUAAGCCCGG